AUGCCGGAGUCCACACUGUAUCGAUGCGCCGCUAUCGCUCUGCCGUCGCGUGCAGGAAGUUCAACGCCACAACCCCGGCCGUUUAAUCUUGCUGCCGUGGGCGUGCCCCGCUCCAACUCCAUCGCCUGUGCUUCACUAGUGAAACAGUACGACCUGAGGAACCACGGGGGGUUGAGGACGUCCAACUCGGCAGUCCAACUCGGCGUUCUUCGUGUCAUCGUUAGCCCCAUGUUUGCUGGCAAGACCACCGUGCUUCUCCGCUGGCAUCGACAGGAAGACGAGUCCCUCGUCCGGUACGUCCAGGAUGUGGAAAAACUAGAUGCAACAUUUAUGGAAAAAAAGAGAUGGAUUUAUAGGAAGAUGGAGCACUGGAACGGAGAAGACUCAGUUCACAAAACAAUCUGA
Molecule: ribosomal RNA, 405 nt
Filed under: Triticum aestivum (bread wheat)
Lineage: Eukaryota; Viridiplantae; Streptophyta; Magnoliopsida; Poales; Poaceae
Description: partial small subunit ribosomal RNA
Source: RNAcentral